This is a non-coding RNA of Thecamonas trahens ATCC 50062, 77 nucleotides long. The record is from the annotation of a RefSeq genome assembly. NCBI's taxonomy places the organism in Eukaryota, Apusomonadida, Apusomonadidae.
GUCCUCGUCAUCCAGUGGUUAGGAUCCGUGCCUUCUAUCGUAAGCACGUCACGCGAGUUCGAAUCUCGCCGGGGACU